AGGAUGAACGCUGGCGGCGUGCCUAACACAUGCAAGUCGAACGAAGCACUCAGGAGCGAUUUCGAUCAAUCCUGUUUGACUGAGUGGCGGACGGGUGAGUAACGCGUGAGGAACCUACCUUACAGUGGGGAAUAACAGUUGGAAACGGCUGCUAAUACCGCAUAAUGCAAAGAGACCGCAUGAUCUUUUUGUCAAAGAUUUAUCGCUGUAAGAUGGCCUCGCGUCUGAUUAGCUAGUUGGUGGGGUAAAGGCCCACCAAGGCGACGAUCAGUAGCCGGACUGAGAGGUUGACCGGCCACAUUGGGACUGAGAUACGGCCCAGACUCCUACGGGAGGCAGCAGUGGGGAAUAUUGGGCAAUGGGCGAAAGCCUGACCCAGCAACGCCGCGUGAAGGAAGAAGGCUUUCGGGUUGUAAACUUCUUUUAACAGGGACGAUAAUGACGGUACCUGUUGAAUAAGCUCCGGCUAACUACGUGCCAGCAGCCGCGGUAAUACGUAGGGAGCAAGCGUUAUCCGGAUUUACUGGGUGUAAAGGGCGUGUAGGCGGGACUACAAGUCAGAUGUGAAAAUUAUGGGCUCAACCCAUAACCUGCAUUUGAAACUGUGGUUCUUGAGUGCUGGAGAGGCAAAUGGAACUCCUAGUGUAGCGGUGAAAUGCGUAGAUAUUAGGAAGAACACCAGUGGCGAAGGCGAUUUGCUGGACAGUAACUGACGCUGAUGCGCGAAAGUGUGGGGAGCAAACAGGAUUAGAUACCCUGGUAGUCCACACCGUAAACGAUAGAUACUAGGUGUGGGGGGGUCUGACCCCCUCCGUGCCGCAGUUAACACAUUAAGUAUCCCACCUGGGGAGUACGAUCGCAAGGUUGA
Molecule: ribosomal RNA, 868 nt
Filed under: uncultured bacterium
Lineage: Bacteria
Description: bacterial SSU rRNA
Rfam family: Bacterial small subunit ribosomal RNA
Source: RNAcentral